AUCAUGAUUUACAUUUGAGUGAGUGGCGAACUGGUGAGUAACACGUGGGAAACCUGCCCAGAAGCGGGGGAUAACACCUGGAAACAGAUGCUAAUACCGCAUAACAACUUGGACCGCAUGGUCCGAGUUUGAAAGAUGGCUUCGGCUAUCACUUUUGGAUGGUCCCGCGGCGUAUUAGCUAGAUGGUGAGGUAACGGCUCACCAUGGCAAUGAUACGUAGCCGACCUGAGAGGGUAAUCGGCCACAUUGGGACUGAGACACGGCCCAAACUCCUACGGGAGGCAGCAGUAGGGAAUCUUCCACAAUGGACGAAAGUCUGAUGGAGCAACGCCGCGUGAGUGAAGAAGGGUUUCGGCUCGUAAAACUCUGUUGUUAAAGAAGAACAUAUCUGAGAGUAACUGUUCAGGUAUUGACGGUAUUUAACCAGAAAGCCACGGCUAACUACGUGCCAGCAGCCGCGGUAAUACGUAGGUGGCAAGCGUUGUCCGGAUUUAUUGGGCGUAAAGCGAGCGCAGGCGGUUUUUUAAGUCUGAUGUGAAAGCCUUCGGCUCAACCGAAGAAGUGCAUCGGAAACUGGGAAACUUGAGUGCAGAAGAGGACAGUGGAACUCCAUGUGUAGCGGUGAAAUGCGUAGAUAUAUGGAAGAACACCAGUGGCGAAGGCGGCUGUCUGGUCUGUAACUGACGCUGAGGCUCGAAAGUAUGGGUAGCAAACAGGAUUAGAUACCCUGGUAGUCCAUACCGUAAACGAUGAAUGCUAAGUGUUGGAGGGUUUCCGCCCUUCAGUGCUGCAGCUAACGCAUUAAGCAUUCCGCCUGGGGAGUACGGCCGCAAGGCUGAAACUCAAAGGAAUUGACGGGGGCCCGCACAAGCGGUGGAGCAUGUGGUUUAAUUCGAAGCUACGCGAAGAACCUUACCAGGUCUUGACAUACUAUGCAAAUCUAAGAGAUUAGACGUUCCCUUCGGGGACAUGGAUACAGGUGGUGCAUGGUUGUCGUCAGCUCGUGUCGUGAGAUGUUGGGUUAAGUCCCGCAACGAGCGCAACCCUUAUUAUCAGUUGCCAGCAUUAAGUUGGGCACUCUGGUGAGACUGCCGGUGACAAACCGGAGGAAGGUGGGGAUGACGUCAAAUCAUCAUGCCCCUUAUGACCUGGGCUACACACGUGCUACAAUGGAUGGUACAACGAGUUGCGAACUCGCGAGAGUAAGCUAAUCUCUUAAAGCCAUUCUCAGUUCGGAUUGUAGGCUGCAACUCGCCUACAUGAAGUCGGAAUCGCUAGUAAUCGCGGAUCAGCAUGCCGCGGUGAAUACGUUCCCGGGCCUUGUACACACCGCCCGUCACACCAUGAGAGUUUGUAACA
This 1359-nucleotide ribosomal RNA is filed under the name Lactiplantibacillus plantarum. RNAcentral's name for it is "bacterial SSU rRNA". It matches the Rfam family "Bacterial small subunit ribosomal RNA", at positions 71 to 1419 of the family's 1533-position model. The record is from RNAcentral. Lineage: Bacteria; Bacillati; Bacillota; Bacilli; Lactobacillales; Lactobacillaceae.